AGUCGAACGAUGAAGCUUUUAGCUUGCUAGAAGUGGAUUAGUGGCGCACGGGUGAGUAAGGUAUAGUUAAUCUGCCCUACACAAGAGGACAACAGUUGGAAACGACUGCUAAUACUCUAUACUCCUGCUUAACACAAGUUGAGUAGGGAAAGUUUUUCGGUGUAGGAUGAGACUAUAUAGUAUCAGCUAGUUGGUAAGGUAAUGGCUUACCAAGGCUAUGACGCUUAACUGGUCUGAGAGGAUGAUCAGUCACACUGGAACUGAGACACGGUCCAGACUCCUACGGGAGGCAGCAGUAGGGAAUAUUGCGCAAUGGGGGAAACCCUGACGCAGCAACGCCGCGUGGAGGAUGACACUUUUCGGAGCGUAAACUCCUUUUCUUAGGGAAGAAUUCUGACGGUACCUAAGGAAUAAGCACCGGCUAACUCCGUGCCAGCAGCCGCGGUAAUACGGAGGGUGCAAGCGUUACUCGGAAUCACUGGGCGUAAAGGGCGCGUAGGCGGAUUAUCAAGUCUCUUGUGAAAUCUAAUGGCUUAACCAUUAAACUGCUUGGGAAACUGAUAGUCUAGAGUGAGGGAGAGGUAGAUGGAAUUGGUGGUGUAGGGGUAAAAUCCGUAGAUAUCNNNAAGAAUACCCAUUGCGAAGGCGAUCUGCUGGAACUCAACUGACGCUAAGGCGCGAAAGCGUGGGGAGCAAACAGGAUUAGAUACCCUGGUAGUCCACGCCCUAAACGAUGUACACUAGUUGUUGGGAUGCUAGUCAUCUCAGUAAUGCAGCUAACGCAUUAAGUGUACCGCCUGGGGAGUACGGUCGCAAGAUUAAAACUCAAAGGAAUAGACGGGGACCCGCACAAGCGGUGGAGCAUGUGGUUUAAUUCGAAGAUACGCGAAGAACCUUACCUGGGCUUGAUAUCCUAAGAACCUUAUAGAGAUAUGAGGGUGCUAGCUUGCUAGAACUUAGAGACAGGUGCUGCACGGCUGUCGUCAGCUCGUGUCGUGAGAUGUUGGGUUAAGUCCCGCAACGAGCGCAACCCACGUAUUUAGUUGCUAACGGUUCGGCCGAGCACUCUAAAUAGACUGCCUUCGUAAGGAGGAGGAAGGUGUGGACGACGUCAAGUCAUCAUGGCCCUUAUGCCCAGGGCGACACACGUGCUACAAUGGCAUAUACAAUGAGACGCAAUACCGCGAGGUGGAGCAAAUCUAUAAAAUAUGUCCCAGUUCGGAUUGUUCUCUGCAACUCGAGAGCAUGAAGCCGGAAUCGCUAGUAAUCGUAGAUCAGCCAUGCUACGGUGAAUACGUUCCCGGGUCUUGUACUCACCGCCCGUCACACCAUGGGAGUUGAUUUCACUCGAAGCCGGAAUACUAA
Molecule: ribosomal RNA, 1365 nt
Filed under: Campylobacter jejuni
Lineage: Bacteria; Pseudomonadati; Campylobacterota; Epsilonproteobacteria; Campylobacterales; Campylobacteraceae
Description: bacterial SSU rRNA
Rfam family: Bacterial small subunit ribosomal RNA
Source: RNAcentral